RNAcentral lists this ribosomal RNA (155 nucleotides) under uncultured Diversisporaceae. Its description in RNAcentral is "5.8S ribosomal RNA". It matches the Rfam family "5.8S ribosomal RNA". Rfam says of the family: 5.8S ribosomal RNA (5.8S rRNA) is a component of the large subunit of the eukaryotic ribosome. It is transcribed by RNA polymerase I as part of the 45S precursor that also contains 18S and 28S rRNA. The record is from RNAcentral. Lineage: Eukaryota; Fungi; Glomeromycota; Glomeromycetes; Diversisporales.
AAACUUUCAACAACGGAUCUCUUGGCUCUCGCAUCGAUGAAGAACGCAGCGAAAUGCGAUACGUAAUGUGAAUUGCAAAAUUCCGUGAAUCAUCGAAUCUUUGAACACAAAUUGAACUUUUCAGUAAUCUGGGAAGUAUGCUUGGUUGAGGGUCA